CGCUUUUCCGAACAUCAUCGUAGGCUGGCGGUUCGGCUGCCUGGUUCUCCAUGGUUCGGCAGAUGGAUUGUUAAUCCUUCACCGCCGAAGGGUAGUGGGAUCAGAUGAAAGGGUUCAGUGACGCUCCUCUGGUGGGGUAAACAUUCCCCUGAGAGAACAAAUGGGGAGCAGUAGUUGCUGCUACUCACAGUAAAUGGGUUGACAGACAUCGGUCGCUGGACUUUGGUGGUUGACUCAGUCAUAGGGAAA
Long non-coding RNA from Electrophorus electricus (electric eel), 249 nucleotides. RefSeq lists it as uncharacterized. Lineage: Eukaryota; Metazoa; Chordata; Actinopteri; Gymnotiformes; Gymnotidae. The record is from RefSeq and is a predicted model, not a curated record.